AGAGUUUGAUCCUGGCUCAGGAUAAACGCUGGCGGCGCACAUAAGACAUGCAAGUCGAACGGACUUAACCGAAAUGUUUACAUUUUGGAGCGGUUAGUGGCGGACUGGUGAGUAACACGUAAGCAACCUGCCUAUUAGAGGGGAAUAACAGUGAGAAAUCAUUGCUAAUACCGCAUAUGCCAUAAUCACCACAUGGUGAUAGUGGGAAAGGAGUAAUCCGCUAAUAGAUGGGCUUGCGUCUGAUUAGAUAGUUGGUGGGGUAACGGCCUACCAAGUCGACGAUCAGUAGCCGGACUGAGAGGUUGAACGGCCACAUUGGGACUGAGAUACGGCCCAGACUCCUACGGGAGGCAGCAGUCGGGAAUAUUGCACAAUGGAGGAAACUCUGAUGCAGUGACGCCGCGUGCAGGAAGAAGGUUUUCGGAUUGUAAACUGCUUUAGAUAGGGAAGAUAAAAGACUGUACCUAUAGAAUAAGCUCCGGCUAACUACGUGCCAGCAGCCGCGGUAAUACGUAGGGAGCAAGCGUUAUCCGGAUUUAUUGGGUGUAAAGGGUGCGUAGACGGGCUAACAAGUUAGUUGUGAAAUCCCUCGGCUCAACUGAGGAACUGCAACUAAAACUAUUAGUCUUGAGUGCGGGAGAGGAAAGUGGAAUUCCUAGUGUAGCGGUGAAAUGCGUAGAUAUUAGGAGGAACACCAGUGGCGAAGGCGACUUUCUGGACCGUAACUGACGUUGAGGCACGAAAGUGUGGGGAGCAAACAGGAUUAGAUACCCUGGUAGUCCACACUGUAAACGAUGGAUACUAGGUGUAGGGGGUAUUAAGCCUUCUGUGCCGUCGCAAACGCAGUAAGUAUCCCACCUGGGGAGUACGACCGCAAGGUUGAAACUCAAAGGAAUUGACGGGGGCCCGCACAAGCAGUGGAGUAUGUGGUUUAAUUCGAAGCAACGCGAAGAACCUUACCAGGGCUUGACAUAUACAGGAAUAUAUAAGAGAUUAUAUAGCUCUUCGGAGCCUGUAUACAGGUGGUGCAUGGUUGUCGUCAGCUCGUGUCGUGAGAUGUUGGGUUAAGUCCCGCAACGAGCGCAACCCCUGUUUCUAGUUGCCAGCGAGUAAUGUCGGGAACUCUAGAGAGACUGCCGGUGAUAAAUCGGAGGAAGGUGGGGACGACGUCAAAUCAUCAUGCCCUUUAUGUCCUGGGCUACACACGUACUACAAUGGCUAUAACAAAGAGAAGCGAAGCAGUGAUGUGGAGCGAAACUCAAAAAAAUAGUCUCAGUUCGGAUUGAAGGCUGAAAUUCGCCUUCAUGAAGCCGGAAUUGCUAGUAAUGGCAGGUCAGCAUACUGCCGUGAAUACGUUCCCGGGCCUUGUACACACCGCCCGUCACACCAUGAGAGUUGGGAAUACCCGAAGCCUGUGAGCUAACAUUACGAGGCAGCAGUCGAAGGUAGAAUCAAUGAUUGGGGUGAAGUCGUAACAAGGUAACC
RNAcentral lists this ribosomal RNA (1485 nucleotides) under uncultured bacterium. RNAcentral describes it as "bacterial SSU rRNA". It matches the Rfam family "Bacterial small subunit ribosomal RNA". The record is from RNAcentral.